This is a non-coding RNA of Paramuricea clavata, 239 nucleotides long. NCBI's taxonomy places the organism in Eukaryota, Metazoa, Cnidaria, Anthozoa, Malacalcyonacea, Plexauridae. The record is from the annotation of a GenBank genome assembly.
AUCGUGAUCUUUCGUUCGUAGUAUUGGAAAAAUAUUGACAGGCGGCAUUUGCAAGAAGUAUUCGUAUCGUUGUUGGAUUUAAUUCGCAAAAGUGUGAGGAAUUGUCGAUGGUUGGGACGUAAGAGAAUCUUGAAUUGUUGUAUACGGUUGCGUGUGGGUUUUAAUUCGUGAUAAAUAUCGUAAAAGAUCGAAAAAUAUCGGAGACAUUGCGAGUAAUUUAUGCGUGUUUUGAAAAUUUG